This 484-nucleotide ribosomal RNA is filed under the name uncultured bacterium. RNAcentral describes it as "partial 16S ribosomal RNA". It matches the Rfam family "Bacterial small subunit ribosomal RNA", at positions 30 to 507 of the family's 1533-position model. The record is from RNAcentral.
AUUGAACGCUGGCGGCAGGCCUAACACAUGCAAGUCGAGCGGAUGAAGGGAGCUUGCUCCUGGAUUCAGCGGCGGACGGGUGAGUAAUGCCUAGGAAUCUGCCUGGUGGUGGGGGAUAACGUCCGGAAACGGGCGCUAAUACCGCAUACGUCCUGAGGGAGAAAGUGGGGGAUCUUCGGACCUCACGCUAUCAGAUGAGCCUAGGUCGGAUUAGCUAGUUGGUGGGGUAAAGGCCUACCAAGGCGACGAUCCGUAACUGGUCUUAGAGGAUGAUCAGUCACACUGGAACUGAGACACGGUCCAGACUCCUACGGGAGGCAGCAGUGGGGAAUAUUGGACAAUGGGCGAAAGCCUGAUCCAGCCAUGCCGCGUGUGUGAAGAAGGUCUUCGGAUUGUAAAGCACUUUAAGUUGGGAGGAAGGGCAGUAAGUUAAUACCUUGCUGUUUUGACGUUACCAACAGAAUAAGCACCGGCUAACUUCGUG